This 497-nucleotide ribosomal RNA is filed under the name uncultured bacterium. RNAcentral describes it as "partial 16S ribosomal RNA". It matches the Rfam family "Bacterial small subunit ribosomal RNA", at positions 28 to 507 of the family's 1533-position model. The record is from RNAcentral.
GAUGAACGCUGGCGGCGUGCCUAAUACAUGCAAGUCGAGCGAACGGACGAGGAGCUUGCUCCUUUGACGUUAGCGGCGGACGGGUGAGUAACACGUGGAUAACCUACCUAUAAGACUGGGAUAACUUCGGGAAACCGGAGCUAAUACCGGAUAAUAUAUUGAACCGCAUGGUUCAAUAGUGAAAGACGGUUUUGCUGUCACUUAUAGAUGGAUCCGCGCCGCAUUAGCUAGUUGGUAAGGUAACGGCUUACCAAGGCAACGAUGCGUAGCCGACCUGAGAGGGUGAACGGCCACACUGGAACUGAGACACGGUCCAGACUCCUACGGGAGGCAGCAGUAGGGAAUCUUCCGCAAUGGGCGAAAGCCUGACGGAGCAACGCCGCGUGAGUGAUGAAGGUCUUCGGAUCGUAAAACUCUGUUAUUAGGGAAGAACAAAUGUGUAAGUAACUAUGCACGUCUUGACGGUACCUAAUCAGAAAGCCACGGCUAACUACGUG